GUGCAGGAUGAAGGCCUUCGGGUUGUAAACUGCUUUUGUACGGAACGAAAAGGUGCCUUCUAAUAAAGGGCGCUCAUGACGGUACCGUAAGAAUAAGCACCGGCUAACUACGUGCCAGCAGCCGCGGUAAUACGUARGGUGCAAGCGUUAAUCGGAAUUACUGGGCGUAAAGCGUGCGCAGGCGGUUUUGUAAGACAGAGGUGAAAUCCCCGGGCUCAACCUGGGAACUGCCUUUGUGACUGCAAGGCUGGAGUGCGGCAGAGGGGGAUGGAAUUCCGCGUGUAGCAGUGAAAUGCGUAKAUAUGCGGAGGAACACCGAUGGCGAAGGCAAUCCCCUGGGCCUGCACUGACGCUCAUGCACGAAAGCGUGGGGAGCAAACAGGAUUAGAUACCCUGGUAGUCCACGCCCUAAACGAUGUCAACUGGUUGUUGGGUAUUAAUUUACUCAGUAACGAAGCUAACGCGUGAAGUUGACCGCCUGGGGAGUACGGCCGCAAGGUUGAAACUC
Molecule: ribosomal RNA, 508 nt
Filed under: uncultured bacterium
Lineage: Bacteria
Description: bacterial SSU rRNA
Rfam family: Bacterial small subunit ribosomal RNA
Source: RNAcentral